RNAcentral lists this transfer RNA (82 nucleotides) under Vararia minispora EC-137. RNAcentral describes it as "tRNA-Glu". It matches the Rfam family "tRNA". From Rfam's summary of the family: Transfer RNA (tRNA) molecules are approximately 80 nucleotides in length. Their secondary structure includes four short double-helical elements and three loops (D, anti-codon, and T loops). The record is from RNAcentral. Lineage: Eukaryota; Fungi; Basidiomycota; Agaricomycetes; Russulales; Lachnocladiaceae.
UCGGAUAUGGUGUAACGGCUAACAUUGCCGCCUCUCAACAGAGCAGACGCGGCAGCUCGGGGUUCGAUUCCCCGUAUCCGAA